Ictidomys tridecemlineatus (thirteen-lined ground squirrel) is the source of this 481-nucleotide non-coding RNA. Lineage: Eukaryota; Metazoa; Chordata; Mammalia; Rodentia; Sciuridae. The record is from RefSeq and is a predicted model, not a curated record.
CAAAUAUCCAAGAGGAUUCUUUCACUAAAGCUCACAGGAAUAUGCUGGUGACAAGGGCCUGCUUCACUAAAAAAGUACAGCCAGGUGGAAAAUGCAGAAGGGAAUCACAGCUCAAUAGAAUGAGUAUCUCUCUGCUGCUCUGAAACUGUGCCCCAGACCCAUUGCUCACUUCUUAGAGCAAACAUUGGGAUCCAAAUUUUUAUGACUAACACGUCAUAAUGUAAUGAAUAAAAAUCUACAGCAAGAAAAAGUAUAGAAAAAUAUAACCACACCAAGAUUGAGCAAUGCAUUUUGGAACAACUAACAACGGAUGGUGAAUGUCAGCAGAGAAGAUUUUAAAAUAAUCAAAUCAACUGAGAAAAGAAAUAAAACAUGUCACAAUCUCUGUGACACUAAGAAGGCAGCUAUUGGAGUAAACUUUAUAGCUAUGAGUAUCUACUUAAAAAGAUCACAAAGAAGAAACUUCUACAUUGAAAAUUAG